Molecule: RNA transcript, 3431 nt
Organism: Abrus precatorius (Indian licorice)
Lineage: Eukaryota; Viridiplantae; Streptophyta; Magnoliopsida; Fabales; Fabaceae
Gene name: probable zinc transporter protein DDB_G0291141
Exons: 2
Source: RefSeq, a predicted model, not a curated record
GAAAUAUGUAAACCGAGUGAGAGGACACUGACAGUUUUUGAGAAGCGAAGACCCGAGUCCACCAUGGCCGAUCAUCCUCACCACCACCAACAUCGACCGCACCGCCUCUCCGUGCCACCGCGGAACACCACUUUCGCCGCCACACCGAGGCCGUACCCUUCUUCAUUCCGAUACUCAACACCAACAUCAACGUCAAUACAAACACCCACUCCAACACCCUCCAAAAACCGUCGUCUUUCUUCUCUCUCUUUCUCCAAACCCAAAUCCAAAUCUUCCUUUUCCUCUCUCUUCCUUCUUCUCUUCUCCCUUCGCUCCCUCUAUUCCCUUCUUCCCUUCCUUCGGUCUUCUCCUUCCUUUUCCCUCUUCCCUUUCUCUUUUCUGGUUUCCCUUCUCUCCUUCUUCCUCACCCUUUCCUUUUCUUUCUUCCCUUCUUCUUCUAAACAUCCUUUUCAACAACACAACCCUAACCCUAAGCACCCUCUUUUUAUGUUAUCCUCUCUCACUCACCCUCAGCAGAGAACCCUGCUCGCUAAAUCCAUUGUUCUCGCGUUGGUCUUUCUCCUUCGCUUUCAAGCUCUUCGUUACUGUGGCACUGCCUCAAUGAUUCUCGCUGAGUUUAUGGGAAGCAUUGCUGCGCAACCCAAAAAUCAGAACCGGACUGGGUUGCCUAAGGUUCGUGGGUUCGUGUCUUUGUUUUUGGGAUUGUUCAUGUUGUCGUUUGGUUGGGAUCGAAUUGAAUGUUUUCCCUUUUGGGGAAACCCCGAUUGUGUGAGUGUGAGGGUUUGGCCUUUGUUGCUUGGUUUUAUGUCUGGUUUUCUAGCUUGUUAUGAACGUGUUUCUAUCAUGGAUUGGGGAAUGGUUAAACAGCUUGGUCAUAAACGGGUGCGUCUCAUUACCCUGUUUUUUACUACUGUUGUGCUCUUUGUUCCUGCUGUGAUUAGUUUUUUCAUGUUUGAAUCGGAAGAAGAUAGCGUUACCUUUGGGAGUUUGGUGUGGCCUCUGGUCAAUACUGUUGUCUUUGGUGUACUUUUGAGUGAGAACUAUUGCAGUUAUGAUGAUUUGGUGACUUUCAAAGAUUCUCAGAGGGAGUUUUUGGUCACUUUUGUCUGCACCCUUGUCUUGGAACUUUUUUAUUACCCUCAACUUUCACUUUGGGGUUUGUUGCUUUGUGGUUUGUUGCUCUAUGUGGCCGUGAGAGAUUUGGAUCCUUUCCGUUCUGAUGAGGUUGGGUCCCGGGAGGAGUUGUUAAGUGACAUGAUUAUGAAGCCUAUUAGACAUGUUUUGGGUGAGAGGAAGUCGCGGAAAAUUGCGCUUUUUCUUUUGAUCAAUGCUGGGUAUAUGGUUGUGGAAUUUGCUGCUGGAUUUAUGAGUAAUAGUCUUGGGCUCAUAUCUGAUGCAUGUCACAUGUUGUUUGAUUGUGCUGCUUUGGCCAUUGGGCUGUAUGCUUCUUAUAUAUCUCGUUUGCCUGCAAAUAGUCACUAUAACUACGGACGAGGAAGAUUUGAGGUUCUAUCAGGAUAUACUAAUGCUGUUUUUCUGGUUCUUGUGGGAGCACUGAUAGUGGUUGAAUCCUUUGAAAGGAUAUUGGAUCCUCAAGAGAUAUCAACUAAUAGUUUGUUGGUUGUCUCUAUAGGAGGGCUUGUUGUCAAUGUCAUUGGCUUGAUAUUCUUUCAUGAGGAGCAUCAUCAUGCACAUGGAUUGUCUGGAUCAUGUUCACAUUCACAUUCUCAUUCUCAUUCUCAUUCACAUUCACAUUCACAUUCUCAUUCUCACUCACACACAGACUCAGAGUUCCAUAGUCACCACCCCCACCAACAUCAUGACCUGCAUUGCCAUGGUAAGCAUCAUUGUGAAAGACAUGGAAGCAGUCAAGAAUUUAUUUCUGUUUCCAGUGAUUGCCAAGACAAUUCAUGUUCUAGUGAUCCUGGCCAUCACAACCUCUGUAGUCACGAGAGAAAGGCUGAGUUUCAUGCAGACAAUGAUUGCAUUCAGAAGUUUAAGCAUGACCAUACCCAGCACAAUCAUGAGAGGACGGCUGAGUAUCAUGAAGAUAAUCACAGUAAUCAGAGCUUUAAGCAUCACGACAAUGCCUGGCAGCUUGGCCACCAUGACCAUGUUGAACAUCAUGAUCAGACUGACCACAGUUGUCAUGAUCAUGAAGCCUCACAUGUUCACCAAGCGCACAACCAUCACCAUAUUGAUCACAAUAUGGAAGGAAUAUUUUUGCACGUUCUUGCUGACACAAUGGGGAGUGUUGGCGUUGUUAUAUCUACCCUAUUAAUUAAGUACAAGGGAUGGCUUAGUGCUGAUCCUGCUUGCUCAAUUUUUAUUUCAGUUUUAAUUAUAUCCUCCGUGAUACCUCUACUCAGAAAUUCAGCUGAAAUUCUGCUCCAAAGAGUUCCAAGGUUGCGUGAGCAUGAGUUGACAGAUGCCUUAACUAAUGUUUUGAAGUUAAGGGGUGUUUAUGACAUCCAAAAGUUUCAUUUAUGGAGCUUCACAAACACAGAUGUAGUUGGUACUUUGCAUCUUCACGUUUCAACAGAUACUGACAAGACAUCCACCAAGUCUCAGGUUUUCCAUCUGUUACAUAAUGCUGGAAUCAAGGAUUUAACCUUGCAAGUAGAAUGUGUUGGAUAACUUUUUAUUAUGUAGUUUUUUCCUUAACUGACUUACUUGUGAAGGUUGUUAAGAUCAGAGAUCGAAAUUUCCUGAUCAUUGUCAUACGGAAUGCUUUAUAAUGGUUACCAACAAAUAUCUAUUUAUUUUCAUUUGUGACACCACUGUAUAACUUGUGAGAUGGUAUAACUUGUGAAAUAAUUGUAUCAUCAAGUCAUGCACGAGUUUCAAUUCCUGAAACUAUCCAAAGAGAGACUGAUAAACAGCUAGAUUCAAAAGAAGAUCAUGGCCAAAGGUGAAACUACCAAUGCCGUCCCUUUUUACAAACUUUUCUCUUUUGGAGACUCUUUAUAUCAUGCAUUGAUGUUUGUGGGGACAAUCAAUGCGGUUGGAAAUGGACUUGCCACUCCCCCAAUGAUUCAUAUUUUUGGAAAUUGAAUUGAUGCAUUUGGGAAAACCACAAACCCCAAAGAAGGGGUUCAUGAUGUUUCUAAGCUCGGGCAUUGCAGAAAUCCUUUUUCAAAUCAAGCCUUGUGUAUUGAAGCAAAGAUAUUUUAUGUUUUGUAUAGCAGUAAGCCAGUAACCAAUAUACUUCUUCAAAAUAUGGAGAUGGUAUCAAAUUGAUUGAAAUGGAAGCAUCCGGGUCACAAUAACUCUGAUAGUGGACUUGGUCCCCUGCCUUCUCUAUUCUAUACUUACUAUAAAGAAAGGGUCUUUUACUUUGCCUUUUUAUCUAAUGUAUUUUUGACGUUUUGCCUUUUUAUGUUAAAAAUUCUUUCACGUUAUUUAAUUUAUUAUUUGUUCACUCUUCCUCU